Molecule: long non-coding RNA, 666 nt
Filed under: Rattus norvegicus (Norway rat)
Lineage: Eukaryota; Metazoa; Chordata; Mammalia; Rodentia; Muridae
Description: long non-coding RNA NONRATT028829
Source: RNAcentral
AUGCUAACCUCCCUGUCUCAAAUAUAGUUAAGUUGAUAUCAAUUCCAAAGUCCCCUUGUUGGUUAAUACUGACAGCAUGAGCAACGGUGGAUACAACUAAUAAUGAUCAAAUAAAGAAAGUAAACAAGGGUACCUUGAUUCCUGGGCAAUGGGCAAAAAAGGCUUCAGGACUCUGAGAAUGGUAAAGAGCCCCAUGGCCCACACAGCCCCAAGGGGCCCGGAUGGUGAGGCUCCCACAGUUGAAAAGAUCGCCAGAGCGGUAUCGAUACUUGGCAGCUUCGUUGACAAUCUGCAGAGAAAAGGGACAUGCCACCGUGACUCUUUCCUGCCUAAUGCAUGCCCCAAAAGCAUGACGUUGGGUCUUCAAAUGCAUUCCCACUAUAAAAUGCGAACUGCAGAGCACAAAUAGACAACGAUUGCUAAAGGAGGGGCAGGGCUGAGUGGGAGGGGCCCGAGUCUGAACACUGGAGGCUGGCCGGAAGAGAUACCCUUCCCAGCAAAGCAUCAAGCAACCUACCUGAUCAAAGGCAGGGAAAAUAUAGUCGGCAAACUGGAUUUCCGCAAUAGCUGUAGCACCAUGAGUGACCGCGAUUCCAAUGCCAAACCCAACAAUUCCUUGUUCACACAACGGGGUGUUAAACACUCUGUCUUUUCCUUUAAAAAAAA